GUGCUCACUUCGGCAGCACAUACACUAAAAUUGGAACGAUACAGAGAAUAUUAGCAUGGCCACUGCGCAAGGAUGAUACGCAAAUUCGUGAAGCGUUCCAUAUUAAA
Molecule: small nuclear RNA, 107 nt
Filed under: Echinops telfairi (small Madagascar hedgehog)
Lineage: Eukaryota; Metazoa; Chordata; Mammalia; Afrosoricida; Tenrecidae
Source: RNAcentral